GAUGAACGCUGGCGGCGUGCCUAAUACAUGCAAGUCGAGCGAACGGACGAGAAGCUUGCUUCUCUGAUGUUAGCGGCGGACGGGUGGGUAACACGUGGAUAACCUACCUAUAAGACUGGGAUAACUUCGGGAAACCGGAGCUAAUACCGGAUAAUAUUUUUAACCGCAUGGUUCAAAAGUGAAAGACGGUCUUGCUGUCACUUAUAGAUGGAUCCGCGCUGCAUUAGCUAGUUGGUAAGGUAACGGCUUACCAAGGCAACGAUGCAUAGCCGACCUGAGAGGGUGAUCGGCCACACUGGAACUGAGACACGGUCCAGACUCCUACGGGAGGCAGCAGUAGGGAAUCUUCCGCAAUGGGCGAAAGCCUGACGGAGCAACGCCGCGUGAGUGAUGAAGGUCUUCGGAUCGUAAAACUCUGUUAUUAGGGAAGAACAUAUGUGUAAGUAACUGUGCACAUCUUGACGGUACCUAAUCAGAAAGCCACGGCUAACUACGUG
Molecule: ribosomal RNA, 497 nt
Filed under: uncultured bacterium
Lineage: Bacteria
Description: partial 16S ribosomal RNA
Rfam family: Bacterial small subunit ribosomal RNA
Source: RNAcentral